Molecule: small nuclear RNA, 105 nt
Organism: Peromyscus maniculatus bairdii (prairie deer mouse)
Lineage: Eukaryota; Metazoa; Chordata; Mammalia; Rodentia; Cricetidae
Source: Ensembl
GCGCUGGAUCCAGCAGCACAUCUUCUAAAAUUGGAACUGGAGAGAAGAUGAGCAUGGCUCCUAUACAAGGAUGGCAUGUGAAUUCACGAAGCAUUCCAUGCUUUU